RNAcentral lists this small RNA (522 nucleotides) under Pan troglodytes (chimpanzee). Its description in RNAcentral is "processed transcript". Lineage: Eukaryota; Metazoa; Chordata; Mammalia; Primates; Hominidae. The record is from RNAcentral.
GACUGCGUACUGAGGAGAAGGAGCCGGAUCCGUGAGAAAUGUAGCUUGGCUCAGGGCUACAUCAGGAAGCUGCUACUUCAGCUGUUAAAGAUGGCAAAACAACACCUACCUCAGGUUUUUCAAUGAUUAAUGCUAUUUUCAUAACCAGGAGGGAAGAGGAUGUGAGAAAUUUUGUGAAAUUAACUUGUGGAAAUGUUAUCAUCAGAGAAAGUGGAGAAAAUUACUAGGCUUGAACUUCUCUUCGUUUUGAUGCUCUUCCUCUCUGGACCAACUCUGAGCAAGCUGACCCGGACCCCCUGGAAAGGAAAACCUUGGAAGGGGGGAUCGCGUCUUCGCCAGGAGGACUUUCCCCCGCGGAUUGUGGAGCAUCCUUCCGAUGUCAUCGUCUCUAAGGGCGAGCCCACGACUCUGAACUGCAAGGCGGAGGGCCGGCCAACGCCCACCAUUGAGUGGUACAAAGAUGGGGAGCGAGUGGAGACUGACAAGGACGAUCCCCGGUCCCACAGGAUGCUUCUGCCCAGC